UUUCCGUAGGUGAACCUGCGGAAGGAUCAUUCAAAAUAAGUGUUUUAUGGCACUUUUUUUAAAUCCCUAUCCACCUUGUGUGCAAUGUCAGGGUUGAUUCUUCUCUCGAGAGGAUCAGCCCCAAACAUCAACUAUAUCUCAACUCUUUGUCUGAAAAAUAUUAUGAAUAAAACAAUUCAAAAUACAACUUUCAACAACGGAUCUCUUGGCUCUG
This 214-nucleotide unclassified non-coding RNA is filed under the name plant metagenome. Its description in RNAcentral is "partial contains small subunit ribosomal RNA, internal transcribed spacer 1, and 5.8S ribosomal RNA". The record is from RNAcentral.